This 253-nucleotide ribosomal RNA is filed under the name uncultured bacterium. RNAcentral describes it as "partial 16S ribosomal RNA". It matches the Rfam family "Bacterial small subunit ribosomal RNA", at positions 524 to 776 of the family's 1533-position model. The record is from RNAcentral.
GACAGAGGGUGCAAACGUUGUUCGGAUUUACUGGGCGUAAAGCGCGUGUAGGCGGCUUUGCAAGUCGGAUGUGAAAUCCCACGGCUCAACCGUGGAAGUGCAUCCGAAACUGCAUCGCUCGAGUCUCGGAGAGGAAGGUGGAAUGCUUGGUGUAGAGGUGAAAUUCGUAGAUAUCAAGCAGAACACCCGUGGCGAAGGCGGCUCUCUGGAACGCAACUGACGCUGAGACGCGAAAGCGUGGGGAGCAAACAGG